UUCCUUAGAUCUGCAGGAUUGAAAUGAAAUGUUUUGAGGUCUUCAAGCUGACUCAUCAGAAUAAUCCUGGAACAUUUUUAAAAUGACGGAAAUGAAAGGAAAUGACUUAAAAACAAUUUUAAAUAUAGGAAGAAAUCACCAAGGGAAGAAGAUGAUGGAAUCUUAUUUACUUACUAAAGCAGAAGAGAAAACAAAACAAAACAAAAGAAAACCUCAAUAUCUAAGGGACAGCAGAAACAGGAAGCGCUUCUAGAGCAGAGCUGUCAUCCUUUCCUGGAAGCUGCUGCUCAGUAGCCUGUCUCCAGCGAAACUGCUAAUGGUGACAACACAGGCAGAUUCUGGAAGGGGAACUCAAGGAUUCACAGGUCAGACAUGUCUGUUAACAGCAUGGUGAGUCCCUUUUGACGUUGGAAAGAGAAGGAAUUAGGACUGUUAAAUUUUAUAUAUAUUCUUCACUAGCUGGAUUAAAAAAAAUCCCAGGUUUUGAUACUGAGGUUCUAGAAACUCUAGGAAGAGGCUUCUUCCAG
This 527-nucleotide long non-coding RNA is filed under the name Bos mutus (wild yak). RNAcentral describes it as "lncRNA (ENSBMUG00000017900.1)". The record is from RNAcentral. Lineage: Eukaryota; Metazoa; Chordata; Mammalia; Artiodactyla; Bovidae.